RNAcentral lists this ribosomal RNA (255 nucleotides) under uncultured bacterium. RNAcentral's name for it is "partial 16S ribosomal RNA". It matches the Rfam family "Bacterial small subunit ribosomal RNA", at positions 524 to 776 of the family's 1533-position model. The record is from RNAcentral.
UACGAAGGGGAGGCUAGCGUUGUUCGGAAUCACUGGGCGUAAAGCGCACGUAGGCGGAUCUUUAAGUCAGGGGUGAAAUCCCGAGGCUCAACCUCGGAACUGCCUUUGAUACUGGGGAUCUCGAGUCCGGGAGAGGUGAGUGGAACUGCGAGUGUAGAGGUGAAAUUCGUAGAUAUUCGCAAGAACACCAGUGGCGAAGGCGGCGAUCUGGGAAGAUACUGACGCUGAGGUGCGAAAGCGUGGGGAGCAACAGGG